RNAcentral lists this ribosomal RNA (465 nucleotides) under uncultured bacterium. Its description in RNAcentral is "bacterial SSU rRNA". It matches the Rfam family "Bacterial small subunit ribosomal RNA", at positions 28 to 507 of the family's 1533-position model. The record is from RNAcentral.
GACGAACGCUGGCGGCGUGCCUAACACAUGCAAGUCGAACGGGGUAAUUUCUUCGGAGAUUACUUAGUGGCGAACGGGUGAGUAACGCGUGAGAAACCUGCCUUUCAGUGGGGGACAACAGUUGGAAACGACUGCUAAUACCGCAUAAUGUUAUUUGGGGGCAUCCUUGAAUAACCAAAGCUUUAUUGCAAAAGGAUGGGCUCGCGUCUGAUUAGCUAGUUGGUGAGGUAACGGCUCACCAAGGCGACGAUCAGUAGCCGGUCUGAGAGGAUGAACGGCCACAUUGGGACUGAGAUACGGCCCAGACUCCUACGGGAGGCAGCAGUGGGGAAUAUUGGGCAAUGGGGGAAACCCUGACCCAGCAACGCCGCGUGAAGGAAGAAGGCCUUCGGGUUGUAAACUUCUUUUAGUAGGGACGAAGAAAGUAGACGGUACCUACAGAAAAAGACAACGGCUAACUACGUG